GGCAUUCUUCUUAGGGAGAAAAUAUCUCCAGCAUAAAAAAGCAAGAGGGGGGAUAUACAAGGUAAAGGAGAGAGGAAAUAAUCAUGGCAAGAAUGGAACAACCAAAGUACAACUUUACUCACAUCAAUAGUAUGAUCCAGACCCGCCGCUGCCCAUAUAGCUGCUACCCCCCACACUACGUCCAGGGUACAUUGAUGAGUAGGAGCUACCACCCACAUUGCUACCACGAGACAUAUAGUCACCACCAUAGCUUGACGAGUACAUUCCACCGACAUCACUACUAAAAGAACCUGAAAUGGAACUUCGACUAUCAUAUCCUCCAAUAUUUGAUCUGCCAAUCCUGCUAUCAUAGGCAUCUCCAUAUUGAGAAGCUCCAGCACCAUAAUCAUAGUCUAAACGACUUCUUGAUUGACGAACACCAGCAUCAGCAUAAGCUGGAGGCACAUCACUCAAUGAAGAAUAUGGGCGCUUUGAUCCAAUUAGAGCAUCAUAAUCACGUGCACGUACAUCACGGUAGCUUGGAGGAGGGGGUCUCUCAAAUCUUCGCCCAUAUCCAUCAUCAACAUAAGCUCUCCUGGGUGCAUCUCUCCGAGGUGGAUCAGAGAAGGCAGCAGCACGAGAAGCAUAAUCAUCUCUAUAGGAUGCAUUUCUUUCAGGUACAACUCUAGAGGCAUAAUCAACAAGCAUCCGGCUUCUGGAUGGAUGCAGCUCCUCCCGUCGACCAUACUCCCUCUUCAAGCUACUC
Molecule: unclassified non-coding RNA, 745 nt
Filed under: Hevea brasiliensis (rubber tree)
Lineage: Eukaryota; Viridiplantae; Streptophyta; Magnoliopsida; Malpighiales; Euphorbiaceae
Source: RNAcentral